This is a long non-coding RNA of Arachis duranensis, 308 nucleotides long. RefSeq lists it as uncharacterized. NCBI's taxonomy places the organism in Eukaryota, Viridiplantae, Streptophyta, Magnoliopsida, Fabales, Fabaceae. The transcript has 3 exons. The record is from RefSeq and is a predicted model, not a curated record.
UGUGAAUCAAAAGGGAACACGUGUAGUUGGAAUAGUACAAAGAAUGAAUUCAGUUGUUUAGACAACCAUAAAGGACCAUCAACAGCUCUGGUAACAACAGGAUCAGUACUGGGAUCAUUUUUCCUUAUCCUGCUUACCGGUGUAAUUUACUACAUCUAUGAUACUUGCAUAAUACAAAAAUAUGAUUAUAUUUUCUUAGAUGAGAUUGAUGCUGAUUUAGAUCAAGGUGGUGGUGGUGGUAGUACUAGUACAUUUUAUGCUGCACCACUUGCUUUUUCUGGUUCAAGUAGUGGAAAUGAAGGUGAUGA